ACGCGAGCUGGGUUCAGAACGUCGUGAGACAGUUCGGUCCCUAUCCGUCGCAGGCGUAGGAAAUUUGAGAAGACCUGUCCUUAGUACGAGAGGACCGGGAUGGACGUACCUCUGGUGUACCAGUUGUCCUGCCAAGGGCAUGGCUGGGUAGCUAUGUACGGAAUGGAUAAGCGCUGAAAGCAUCUAAGCGCGAAGCCAACUUCAAGAUAAGAUUUCCCACCGCAAGGGUAAGACCCCAGAAAGACUAUCUGGUUGAUAGGUCGAAGGUGUAAGUGCAGUAAUGUAUUUAGCUUAUCGAUACUAAUAGGUCGAGGACUUGACCAA
RNAcentral lists this ribosomal RNA (324 nucleotides) under Clostridioides difficile. RNAcentral's name for it is "partial 23S ribosomal RNA". It matches the Rfam family "Bacterial large subunit ribosomal RNA", at positions 2598 to 2925 of the family's 2925-position model. The record is from RNAcentral. Lineage: Bacteria; Bacillati; Bacillota; Clostridia; Peptostreptococcales; Peptostreptococcaceae.